This 496-nucleotide ribosomal RNA is filed under the name uncultured bacterium. Its description in RNAcentral is "bacterial SSU rRNA". It matches the Rfam family "Bacterial small subunit ribosomal RNA", at positions 28 to 532 of the family's 1533-position model. The record is from RNAcentral.
GACGAACGCUGGCGGCGUGGAUUAGGCAUGCAAGUCGAGCGACGGUGCACCCUUCGGGGUGCAUACGGAGCGGCGAACGGGUGAGUAACACGUGAACAACCUGCCCUCACAUUCCGGAUAAUUCACCGAAAGGUGUUGUAAUACGGGCGAGGAUCCUUGGGAGGCAUUUUCCGAGGAGGGAAGGCGCAAGCCGUGCGAGGAGGGGUUCGCGGAUUAUCAGGUAGUUGGUGGGGUAACGGCCCACCAAGCCGACGACGAUUAGCUGGUCUGAGAGGAUGGUCAGCCACAUUGGGACUGAGACACUGCCCAGACUCCUACGGGAGGCUGCAGUCGAGAAUCUUGCACAAUGUACGAAAGUAUGAUGCAGCGACGCCGCGUGAAGGAUGAAGGUCCCUUUGGGUCGUUAAACUUCUUUUAUCGGGGAAGAAUAAAUGACGGUACCCGAUGAAUAAGCCACGGCUAACUACGUGCCAGCAGCCGCGGUAAGGUACUCUAU